Long non-coding RNA from Labrus bergylta (ballan wrasse), 531 nucleotides. RefSeq lists it as uncharacterized. The record is from RefSeq and is a predicted model, not a curated record. NCBI's taxonomy places the organism in Eukaryota, Metazoa, Chordata, Actinopteri, Labriformes, Labridae.
CCUGUCAAUCACCCUGUGACCUGUCAAUCACCCUGUGACCUGUCAAUCACCCUGCAGACGUGAGGUUCACAGCCACGAGCAGACGGAACUUUUCCCGUACCAGAACAUAGAUGAACUUGAUGGCGAGCCCAGCCCGUGAAUCUGAGGGGAGUCGAUUACGCAGUGUGGCCAGCUGCAGGAUCUGCUCAGAGGACGUCGGAUUGCUUGAUUCAUUCAUUUGAUUCCAGAUAAGACACAUACACUCUUAUUAACCUACCCGGGUAGUAAUAGUAGACAUUGACAUUGUACACACACAUCUGGAUUUUUCCCCGAAGCUGAACUCUUUUUGCACGUUGAACUUUUCUCACAUUUCCUCUUUAUAGAAGAGCAUUCGAGCUGGGAGUCCAACUCGAAAGGACAAUUUCUUUUGAUUUUGUUUUAUUUUCACAGAACUCUAUUUUUUUAUAUGUUUCUAUGUUUAUACACACAGCACUACUGUAAUGUUUAUUGAUGCUGAUAAAGGCAUUAAAAAGUGUCAACUGUUCAAUCCAA